UUUCCGUAGGUGAACCUGCGGAAGGAUCAUUAAAAAUAUCCUUAUUGAGAGUGAUUUAAUAAUCAUCCUACCCUUUGUGAAUUUGUUGUUUGAAAUAAUUUUUUUUUGACUGUGGAAUAAAAAAAAAAUUAUUUAUGGUUUUGUCUAUCCCUAAAUUGGUUUGUUUGUUGAAAAACAAUGACAAUCAUCAUUUAGGAAUAGGCUUUCCCUAAAUAAUUGAUUUUUUUUCCAAUGUCUUAAAAGACCUUUUUUUAAAAUUAAACUUUUGUAUUCAUUUGUCUAAAAUAAUUUUUAAAAUAAUUUAAAAACAACUUUUGACAAUGGAUCUCUUGGUUCUCGCAACGAUGAAGAACGCAGCAAAAUGCGAUAAGUAAUGUGAAUUGCAGAAUACGUGAAUCAUCAAAUCUUCGAACGCAUAUUGCACUUUUUAGUUUACUAAAAAAGUAUGUCUGUUUGAGUAUCAGUAAAAUAUUCUCAUAAAAACAUUUUUUGUUUUUAUGGUUAUGAGUGUUUUACAACGAUAAACAAGUUGUUUCACUUUAAAUUCAUUUAAUUUAAGACCAUUUUGGUUUUAAUAAAAAUUGGAUAAAAUUUUCCCGUAAAAAGGAAUAAACUUUCAGUUUUUUAAUUAUUACCAACAACGGUCCGAUUUAAAAGGAAAUUUAUUUAAAUAACUUGAUCUCAAAUCAGAUAAGAGUACCGCUGAACUUAAGCAUAUCAAUAAGCGGAGGAAAAGAAACUAACAAGGAUUCCCUUAGUAACGGCGAGUGAAGCGGGAAGAGCUCAAAUUUGAAAUCUUCAAGGUUCUACCUUGACGAAUUGUAGUUUAAAGAAGUGUUUUCUGUUAGAUGAGUAGGCAAAGUUCCUUGGAAUGGACAUCAUAGAGGGUGAGAAUCCCGUAUUUGGUUAUUCAUUCUAGCUUUGUGAUAACACUUUCAAAGAGUCGGAUUGUUUGGGAAUGCAGUCCAAAAUGGGUGGUAAAUUUCAUCUAAAGCUAAAUAUUGGCGAGAGACCGAUAGCGAACAAGUACCGUGAGGGAAGAUGAAAAAGAACUUUGAAAAGAGAGUUAAACAGUACGUGAAAUUGUCAAAGGGAAGCGUUGACACCAGUGUUGUUUUUCCGAAAAUCAAUUACGAAUGGCUUGAUUUUGUGUGUAUAUUGACCUUAUCAGCUUUCUCACUUUUUCGAGUCUUUCUUAAUGCACUUUUCGGUUAACAAGUCAACAUCAAUUUCUUUUGUUGUAAAAGAGUAUUCGGAAGGUGGCUUUCUUUUCGGAGAAAGUGUUUAUAGCCCUAUACUUCUACAAUCGGAGAGAUUGAGGUCUGCAGCGUAGAUCCUUCGGGGUUAGAUACACUUGUGCUAAGUUGUAGCUUUUCAUAGACAGCUUGUUGACUAUGUUAGUCAUGCGGCUUACUCGCUUAUGCUAUUUACCUACGCUUUAGGAUGUU
RNAcentral lists this unclassified non-coding RNA (1448 nucleotides) under uncultured Neocallimastigales. RNAcentral describes it as "partial contains small subunit ribosomal RNA, internal transcribed spacer 1, 5.8S ribosomal RNA, internal transcribed spacer 2, and large subunit ribosomal RNA". The stretch from base 677 to 1448 matches the Rfam family "Eukaryotic large subunit ribosomal RNA", at positions 1 to 627 of the family's 3401-position model. The record is from RNAcentral. Lineage: Eukaryota; Fungi; Neocallimastigomycota; Neocallimastigomycetes; Neocallimastigales.